AGUUGGAAUCCGGCUGCCCUAGGUAGUUGGAGUUGUAAACUGGAGAAGUGUUUUCCAGGCGAGCCAAGCGAAUAAGUCCUUUGGAACGGGGCAUCAUAGAGGGUGAGAAUCCCGUCUUUGGCUUGAGCUAUUCGUCUAUUGCGAUACACUUUCAAAGAGUCAGGUUGUUUGGGAAUGCAGCCUAAAUUGGGUGGUAAAUCUCACCUAAAGCUAAAUAUUGGCGAGAGACCGAUAGCGAACAAGUACCGUGAGGGAAAGAUGAAAAGAACUUUGAAAAGAGAGUUAAACAGUAUGUGAAAUUGUUGAAAGGGAACCGUUUGGAGCCAGACCGGCCGUUCUAUAAUCAAUCUCUGCCUCGGUGGGGAUGCACUUGUAGGGCGUUGGCCUGCCAACAGCAAUUUUGCCUGAUGGAAAAAACUAAAAGGAAUGUGGCCCCUCGGGGUGUUAUAGCCUUUUGGAAAAUACAUUGGGCGGGAUUGAGGACUGCAGCAAAUGCUCUUUAUU
RNAcentral lists this ribosomal RNA (504 nucleotides) under Backusella mclennaniae. Its description in RNAcentral is "Backusella sp. ASU-2019g partial large subunit ribosomal RNA". It matches the Rfam family "Eukaryotic large subunit ribosomal RNA", at positions 111 to 614 of the family's 3401-position model. The record is from RNAcentral. Lineage: Eukaryota; Fungi; Mucoromycota; Mucoromycetes; Mucorales; Backusellaceae.